AAAUGAGGUAGAAUUUCCGGCUCAACGCCGGCUUAGCUCAUCUGGUAGAGCAGUUGAUUUGUAAUCAUCAGGUGGCGGGUUCGAGUCCUGCAGCCGGCACCA
Molecule: transfer RNA, 102 nt
Filed under: Burkholderia mallei GB8 horse 4
Lineage: Bacteria; Pseudomonadati; Pseudomonadota; Betaproteobacteria; Burkholderiales; Burkholderiaceae
Description: tRNA-Thr
Rfam family: tRNA (bases 27-99)
About the family: Transfer RNA (tRNA) molecules are approximately 80 nucleotides in length. Their secondary structure includes four short double-helical elements and three loops (D, anti-codon, and T loops).
Source: RNAcentral